This 252-nucleotide ribosomal RNA is filed under the name uncultured bacterium. RNAcentral's name for it is "partial 16S ribosomal RNA". It matches the Rfam family "Bacterial small subunit ribosomal RNA", at positions 525 to 776 of the family's 1533-position model. The record is from RNAcentral.
ACAGAGGGUGCAAGCGUUAAUCGGAAUUACUGGGCGUAAAGCGCGCGUAGGUGGUUCGUUAAGUUGAAUGUGAAAUCCCCGGGCUCAACCUGGGAACUGCAUCCAAAACUGGCGAGCUAGAGUAUGGUAGAGGGUGGUGGAAUUUCCUGUGUAGCGGUGAAAUGCGUAGAUAUAGGAGGGAACACCAGUGGCGAAGGCGACCACCUGGACUGAUACUGACACUGAGGUGCGAAAGCGUGGGGAGCAAACAGG